AUGCGUAGGGUGCGAACGUUAUCCGGAUUUACUGGGCGUAAAGAGAUGCGUAGGCGUCUUGGAAAGUCUUUCGUCAAAGCCCGUGGCUUAACCACGGAUCGGCGGUGGAAACUUCCAGGAUUGAGUAAAGGAGGGGUGAAUGGAAUUCCCGGUGGAGCGGUGAAAUGCGUUGAUAUCGGGAGGAACACCAAAGGCGAAGGCGAUUCACUGGCCUUUUACUGACGCUAAGGCUCGAAAGCGUGGGUAGCGAAACGGAUUAGAUACCCGUGUAGUCCACGCUGUAAACGAUGGAUGCUAGCUGUUCGGUAUGACUUUUAUUAUUCUUCGGAAUUUUUUCAGAAAUAUUGAGUGGCGCAGCUAACGCGUUAAGCAUCCCGCCUGGGGAGUACGGCCGCAAGGCUAAAACUCAAAUGAAUUGGCGGGGACCUGCACAAGCGGAGGAGCGCGUGGUUUAAUUCGACGGUAAUCGAAGAACCUUACCAGGGUUUGACAUAUAGGUAGUAGUGAACCGAAAGGGGAACGACUCCUCGGAGAGCCUAUACAGGUGCUGCAUGGCCGCCGUCAGCUCGUGUCGUGAGAUGUAGGGUUAAGUCCCGAAACGAGCGCAACCCCUAUCCUAUGUUACAAGUGUCUUAGGAGACUGCAGCGGUAAAACGUUGAGGAAGGAGGGGAUGACGUCUGGUCCGCAUGGCCCUUAUACCCUGGGCGACACACGCGCUACAAUGGUUGGUACAACAGGAAGCCAAGCCGCAAGGCGGAGCAAAUCCUCUAAAACCAAUCUCAGUCCGGAUUGAGGUCUGCAACUCGACCUCAUGAAGUUGGAUUCGCUAGUAAUCGCAGAUCAGCCAUGCUGCGGUGAAUACGUUCUCAGGUCUUGCACACACCGCCCGUCACGUCAUGGAAGCAGGUAACACUUGAAGGGAUUCGAUAUUUUUCGGAUUACGAGGGUGAUAUUUGUGACUGGGAUG
Molecule: ribosomal RNA, 968 nt
Filed under: uncultured bacterium BOL-22
Lineage: Bacteria
Description: bacterial SSU rRNA
Rfam family: Bacterial small subunit ribosomal RNA
Source: RNAcentral